GACGAACGCUGGCGGCACGCCUAACACAUGCGAGUCUAACGGACUUAAAAGAGCUUGCUUUUUUAAGUUAGUGGCGGACGGGUGAGUAACACGUGAGCAACCUGCCUCUGAGAGGGGGAUAGCUUCUGGAAACGGAUGGUAAUACCCCAUAAAAUAUAAAUAUCGCAUGAUAGAUAUAUCAAAGAAAUUCGCUCAGAGAUGGGCUCGCGUCUGAUUAGAUAGUUGGUGAGGUAACGGCUCACCAAGUCGACGAUCAGUAGCCGGACUGAGAGGUUGAACGGCCACAUUGGGACUGAGACACGGCCCAGACUCCUACGGGAGGCAGCAGUGGGGAAUAUUGCACAAUGGAGGGAACUCUGAUGCAGCGAUGCCGCGUGGAGGAAGAAGGUUUUCGGAUUGUAAACUCCUUUUAUCAGGGACGAUAAUGACGGUACCUGAAGAAAAAGCUCCGGCUAACUACGU
RNAcentral lists this ribosomal RNA (462 nucleotides) under uncultured bacterium. Its description in RNAcentral is "partial 16S ribosomal RNA". It matches the Rfam family "Bacterial small subunit ribosomal RNA", at positions 28 to 506 of the family's 1533-position model. The record is from RNAcentral.